ACGGAAGGCAGCAGUGGGGAAUAUUGGGCAAUGGGGGCAACCCUGACCCAGCAACGCCGCGUGAAGGAAGAGGGCUUUCGGGUUGUAAACUUCUUUGACGAGGGACGAAGUAAAUGACGGUACCUCGAAAACAAGCCACGGCUAACUACGUGCCAGCAGCCGCGGUAAUACGUAGGUGGCGAGCGUUGUCCGGAUUUACUGGGUGUAAAGGGCGCGUAGGUGGGUGUGCAAGUCAGAUGUGAAAUGCCAAGGCUUAACCUUGGAGCUGCAUUUGAAACUGUGCAUCUUGAGUAUCGGAGGGGCAAGCGGAAUUCCUAGUGUAGCGGUGAAAUGCGUAGAUAUUAGGAGGAACACCAGUGGCGAAGGCGGCUUGCUGGACGACAACUGACACUGAGGCGCGAAAGCGUGGGGAGCAAACAGGAUUAGAUACCCUGGUA
Molecule: ribosomal RNA, 437 nt
Filed under: uncultured Sporobacter sp.
Lineage: Bacteria; Bacillati; Bacillota; Clostridia; Eubacteriales; Oscillospiraceae
Description: bacterial SSU rRNA
Rfam family: Bacterial small subunit ribosomal RNA
Source: RNAcentral